RNAcentral lists this ribosomal RNA (468 nucleotides) under uncultured bacterium. RNAcentral describes it as "partial 16S ribosomal RNA". It matches the Rfam family "Bacterial small subunit ribosomal RNA", at positions 28 to 507 of the family's 1533-position model. The record is from RNAcentral.
GACGAACGCUGGCGGCGUGCUUAACACAUGCAAGUCGAACGGUGAAGCUCCAGCUUGCUGGAGUGGAUCAGUGGCGAACGGGUGAGUAACACGUGAGCAACCUGCCCCUGACUCUGGAAUAAGCGCUGGAAACGGCGUCUAAUACUGGAUACGAGAAGGGUCCGCAUGGUCACUUUCGGAAAGUUUUUUCGGUUGGGGAUGGGCUCGCGGCCUAUCAGCUUGUUGGUGAGGUAAUGGCUCACCAAGGCGACGACGGGUAGCCGGCCUGAGAGGGCGACCGGCCACACUGGGACUGAGACACGGCCCAGACUCCUACGGGAGGCAGCAGUGGGGAAUAUUGCACAAUGGGCGAAAGCCUGAUGCAGCGACGCCGCGUGAGGGAUGACGGCCUUCGGGUUGUAAACCUCUUUCAGCAGGGAAGAAGCGAAAGUGACGGUACCUGCAGAAGAAGCACCGGCUAACUACGUG